UACGGAGGGUGCUAGCGUUGUUCGGAAUUACUGGGCGUAAAGGGCGCGUAGGCGGCCGUUUGCGUCGGAUGUGAAAGCCCGGGGCUCAACCUCGGAACGGCAUUCGAUACGGGACGGCUGGAGACCGGGAGAGGAGAGUGGAAUAGCCAGUGUAGAGGUGAAAUUCGUAGAUAUUGGCUGGAACACCGGUGGCGAAAGCGGCUCUCUGGCCCGGUUCUGACGCUGAGGCGCGAAAGCGUGGGUAGCAAACAGG
This 253-nucleotide ribosomal RNA is filed under the name uncultured bacterium. RNAcentral describes it as "partial 16S ribosomal RNA". It matches the Rfam family "Bacterial small subunit ribosomal RNA", at positions 524 to 776 of the family's 1533-position model. The record is from RNAcentral.